CUUGAGAGGAAGACGAGGCUCUCACCCCUCUAGACUUCCUCCAGCGUCAGUUUUCCUCGUAUUUCACAUAGUUUCUCUCACUUUCUCUGUCUCUCUCCGAACUUCUCACUCCAUGUGACAAGAAGACGACGUUGGGAGUGUGACUGCACUCUGACUCUCGCAGUGAUGGCGGAGAUGCUGGCUGUGUCCUUUCUGACUGCUUUCAUCAUGGCUGUCGAUGCCUCCCCAAGGAUGAACACGACCACCGCCAUGCUCCAGUUCAACUUGUCCACUUCCCCCUCCCUGAGUUCCAUCCCAAUUACACUCCCAAACUGCCUCCCUCUGGUGUCACCCCCCAUCCUGGGGGUCAUCCAGGUGACAGCAGGGUCCACGCCCUGCUCAGGAGUAGUGUACCUGCAGCUGGGCCACCUUCACCCGCUGCCUCUGUGCAACAACAGUAUCACCAAACUUAACAAGCAGGAGGUGUGCAAGAGCUGGCGCUGUGGCAGUUUCCAGACCUGGAAGGUGCUGCAGCAGAACAUGCUGGGAUAUUGGAUCGCUAACGGAACUGUGAUGAAUACUACGUGCCAGAUAACAGAGAUCCAUUGUGAAGCUGGCUCUGUCGACAAAGAGAUGUCGGCAUACAGGACAGCGACGGCCCUGCUGUGCACCCUCCUCCUGCUACUGCUCCUCGCCAUUUUCGGACCUGCUACCUACAAGACUGUGAUGCAGAGAAAGUUGGAGAAGAGGAAGGACAGGUGGAUUGGGCCCAUGCAGAGUCAGAGUGUGUCCUUUCAUAGAGUGCAAGCUGGAAUUCACCCAAACAGCGAUACCGACAAGAGACAGUCUUCAAUUGGCUUGGAAAGAUUAAUGGUCAACAGCAGCAGGGAACCGUCUUCCAACCGGAACAGCAACUGCGACUCGUACAACUAACCCUUCCCCAGGCACCUUCUCCCGUGGCGCUCUAUAACAAUAUGGGUGCGAUAAUUACGGUCCAGGAACUGAUCUCUUCACUUCACCUGUGCUCUGAUUCCUUGUACAACUGAAUAAACUGUCUUAAGACUGUGAAACGAACUUGUGU
This 1060-nucleotide long non-coding RNA is filed under the name Scleropages formosus (Asian bonytongue). Its description in RNAcentral is "lncRNA (ENSSFOG00015027371.1)". Lineage: Eukaryota; Metazoa; Chordata; Actinopteri; Osteoglossiformes; Osteoglossidae. The record is from RNAcentral.